Molecule: small nucleolar RNA, 107 nt
Organism: Lactuca sativa (garden lettuce)
Lineage: Eukaryota; Viridiplantae; Streptophyta; Magnoliopsida; Asterales; Asteraceae
Source: RefSeq, a predicted model, not a curated record
AAGUCAUGUUGAGGACAAUUUCUCAAAACGCAUUAGUAUCUCUCCCAAGCUUCAUAUAAGGAUUUUCCAUCUUCUUGUUGAAAAUUAGCAAUCCUUUUCUUAAGUUU